GACGAACGCUGGCGGCGUGCUUAACACAUGCAAGUCGAACGGAAAGGCCCUGCUUUUGUGGGGUGCUCGAGUGGCGAACGGGUGAGUAACACGUGAGUAACCUGCCCUUGACUUUGGGAUAACUUCAGGAAACUGGGGCUAAUACCGGAUAGGAGCUCCUGCUGCAUGGUGGGGGUUGGAAAGUUUCGGCGGUUGGGGGUGGACUCGCGGCUUAUCAGCUUGUUGGUGGGGUCGUGGCUUCCCACGGCUUUGCCGGGUAGCCGGCCUGAGCGGGUGACCGGCCACAUUGGGACUGAGAUACGGCCCAGACUCCUACGGGAGGCAGCAGUGGGGAAUAUGGCACAAUGGGCGGAAGCCUGAUGCAGCAACGCCGCGUGCGGGAUGACGGCCUUCGGGUUGUAAACCGCUUUCGCCUGUGACGAAGCGUGAGUGACGGUAAUGGGUAAAGAAGCACCGGCUAACUACGUG
RNAcentral lists this ribosomal RNA (468 nucleotides) under uncultured bacterium. RNAcentral's name for it is "partial 16S ribosomal RNA". It matches the Rfam family "Bacterial small subunit ribosomal RNA", at positions 28 to 507 of the family's 1533-position model. The record is from RNAcentral.